GACGAACGCUGGCGGCGUGCCUAAUACAUGCAAGUAGAACGCUGAAGGAGGAGCUUGCUUCUCCGGAUGAGUUGCGAACGGGUGAGUAACGCGUAGGUAACCUGCCUGGUAGCGGGGGAUAACUAUUGGAAACGAUAGCUAAUACCGCAUAAGAGUAGAUGUUGCAUGACAUUUACUUAAAAGGUGCAAUUGCAUCACUACCAGAUGGACCUGCGUUGUAUUAGCUAGUUGGUGGGGUAACGGCUCACCAAGGCGACGAUACAUAGCCGACCUGAGAGGGUGAUCGGCCACACUGGGACUGAGACACGGCCCAGACUCCUACGGGAGGCAGCAGUAGGGAAUCUUCGGCAAUGGACGGAAGUCUGACCGAGCAACGCCGCGUGAGUGAAGAAGGUUUUCGGAUCGUAAAGCUCUGUCGUAAGAGAAGAACGAGUGUGAGAGUGGAAAGUUCACACUGUGACGGUAUCUUACCAGAAAGGGACGGCUAACUACGUGCCAGCAGCCGCGGUAAUACGUAGGUCCCGAGCGUUGUCCGGAUUUAUUGGGCGUAAAGCGAGCGCAGGCGGUUAGAUAAGUCUGAAGUUAAAGGCUGUGGCUUAACCAUAGUACGCUUUGGAAACUGUUUAACUUGAGUGCAAGAGGGGAGAGUGGAAUUCCAUGUGUAGCGGUGAAAUGCGUAGAUAUAUGGAGGAACACCGGUGGCGAAAGCGGCUCUCUGGCUUGUAACUGACGCUGAGGCUCGAAAGCGUGGGGAGCAAACAGG
RNAcentral lists this ribosomal RNA (763 nucleotides) under uncultured Streptococcus sp. RNAcentral's name for it is "bacterial SSU rRNA". It matches the Rfam family "Bacterial small subunit ribosomal RNA", at positions 28 to 776 of the family's 1533-position model. The record is from RNAcentral. Lineage: Bacteria; Bacillati; Bacillota; Bacilli; Lactobacillales; Streptococcaceae.